GCCAGAGAUGGUCGCCCCCUUGUGGUCGGUGUACAGGUGGUGCAUGGCUGUCGUCAGCUCGUGUCGUGAGAUGUUGGGUUAAGUCCCGCAACGAGCGCAACCCUUGUUCUGUGUUGCCAGCAUGCCCUUCGGGGUGAUGGGGACUCACAGGAGACUGCCGGGGUCAACUCGGAGGAAGGUGGGGACGACGUCAAGUCAUCAUGCCCCUUAUGUCUUGGGCUGCACACGUGCUACAAUGGCAGGUACAAUGAGCUGCGAAGCCGUGAGGCGGAGCGAAUCUCAAAAAGCCUGUCUCAGUUCGGAUUGGGGUCUGCAACUCGACCCCAUGAAGUCGGAGUUGCUAGUAAUCGCAGAUCAGCAUUGCUGCGGUGAAUACGUUCCCGGGCCUUGUACACACCGCCCGUCACGUCACGAAAGUCGGUAACACCCGAAGCCGGUGGCCCAACCCGUAAGGGAGGGA
Molecule: ribosomal RNA, 460 nt
Filed under: Streptomyces scabiei
Lineage: Bacteria; Bacillati; Actinomycetota; Actinomycetes; Kitasatosporales; Streptomycetaceae
Description: bacterial SSU rRNA
Rfam family: Bacterial small subunit ribosomal RNA
Source: RNAcentral